CAGUAGCCACGGGAAUACGAAGGGGGCUGGCGUUGCUCGGAAUGACUGGGCGUAAAGGGCGCGUAGGCGGUUUUGACAGUCAGAUGUGAAAUUCCUGGGCUUAACCUGGGGGCUGCAUUUGAGACGUCAAGACUAGAGUGUGAGAGAGGGUUGUGGAAUUCCCAGUGUAGAGGUGAAAUUCGUAGAUAUUGGGAAGAACACCGGUGGCGAAGGCGGCAACCUGGCUCAUUACUGACGCUGAGGCGCGAAAGCGUGGGGAGCAAACAGGAUUAGAUACCCCCGUAGUCCCUGUCUCUUAUAC
This 301-nucleotide ribosomal RNA is filed under the name uncultured bacterium. RNAcentral's name for it is "partial 16S ribosomal RNA". It matches the Rfam family "Bacterial small subunit ribosomal RNA", at positions 509 to 807 of the family's 1533-position model. The record is from RNAcentral.